GACGAACGCUGGCGGCGUGCUUAACACAUGCAAGUCGAACGGUAAGGCCCUUCGGGGUACACGAGUGGCGAACGGGUGAGUAACACGUGGGUGAUCUGCCCUGCACUUCGGGAUAAGCCUGGGAAACUGGGUCUAAUACCGGAUAGGACCACUGCCUGCAUGGGUGGGGGUGGAAAGCUUUUGCGGUGUGGGAUGGGCCCGCGGCCUAUCAGCUUGUUGGUGGGGUGAUGGCCUACCAAGGCGACGACGGGUAGCCGGCCUGAGAGGGUGACCGGCCACACGGGGACUGGGAUACGGCCCAGACUCCGAGGGGAGGCAGCAGUGGGGAAUAUUGCACAAUGGGCGCAAGCCUGAUGCAGCGACGCCGCGUGAGGGAUGACGGCCUUCGGGUUGUAAACCUCUUUCAGCACCGACGAAGCGCAAGUGACGGUAGGUGCAGAAGAAGGACCGGCCAACUACGUGCCAGCAGCCGCCGUAA
This 478-nucleotide ribosomal RNA is filed under the name uncultured bacterium. RNAcentral's name for it is "partial 16S ribosomal RNA". It matches the Rfam family "Bacterial small subunit ribosomal RNA", at positions 28 to 523 of the family's 1533-position model. The record is from RNAcentral.